GACGAACGCUGGCGGCGUGCUUAACACAUGCAAGUCGAGGGGGAGUAGGGGCAACUCUACUUCACCGGCGAACGGGUGCGUAACACGUGAGCGACCUACCCUGGUGUGGGGGAUAGCCGGCCCAACGGCCGGGUAAUACCGCAUACGCUCUGUGAGGGGCAUCCCUUGGAGAGCAAAGCUGUGGGGCAACUCACGGCGCAUUGGGAGGGGCUCGCGGCCUAUCAGCUAGUUGGCGAGGUAACGGCUCACCAAGGCGACGACGGGUAGCUGGUCUGAGAGGAUGGCCAGCCACAUUGGGACUGAGAGACGGCCCAGACUCCUACGGGAGGCAGCAGUGGGGAAUCUUGCGCAAUGGGCGGAAGCCUGACGCAGCGACGCCGCGUGC
This 385-nucleotide ribosomal RNA is filed under the name uncultured bacterium. RNAcentral describes it as "bacterial SSU rRNA". It matches the Rfam family "Bacterial small subunit ribosomal RNA", at positions 28 to 404 of the family's 1533-position model. The record is from RNAcentral.